Molecule: long non-coding RNA, 1103 nt
Filed under: Homo sapiens (human)
Lineage: Eukaryota; Metazoa; Chordata; Mammalia; Primates; Hominidae
Description: HSALNT0236173
Source: RNAcentral
CGUGAACCCAGGAGGCGGAGCUCGCAGUGGGCGGAGAUCAUGCCACUGCACUCCACUUGGGUGACAGAGCGAGACUCCGUCUCAGAAAAAGUGGCCAGGUGCACUUGUAGUCACAGUUACUUAAGAGGUUCAAGCUACUUGGGAAAGCUUGAGCCCAGGAGUUUGAGUCCAAUCUAGACAACAUAGUAUGAACCUGUCUCUUUAAAAAAAAGUUGCAAAAUGUUCAUGGAUGGAGGAGACGUGCUCGGCGUGAGGUGAAAGGGCUGCCUGUGGGUCGGGCGUGGUAGCUGACACCUGUAAUCCCAGCACUUUGGGAAGCCGAGGUAGGCGGAUCGCCUGAGUUCAGGAGUUUGAGACCAGCCUGGGCAACAUGGUGAAACCCUGUCUUUACUAAAAACACAAAAAAUUAGCCAGGCGUGGCAGCGUGUGCCUGUAGCCCCAGCUUCGGGAGGCUAUGGUGGGAGAAUUGCUUGAACCUGGGAGGCGGAGGGUGCAGUGAGCCGAGACUGCGCCAUUGCACUCCAGCCUGGGCGACAAGAGCAAGACUUCAUCUCCAAAAAAAACAGAAAGGGCUGCCUGCUGUCUUCAGAGCAUUCUACCUCAGCUAAAGAUGCUGCCUGCCUCUCACAGGCCCUGAGGAGAAGAUGGCCACAUCACAGGAUCGAACACUACCACAAAACUCCUAGGAAGGGACAGGAAGGUGAGAAUCCUUUCUUUUUUUUUUGAGACGGAGUCUCGCUCUGUCGCCCAGGCUGGAGCGCAGUGGCGCGAUCUCACCUCACUGCAACCUCUGCCUCCCGGGUUCAAGUAAUUCUCCUGUCUCAGCCUCCCAAGUAGCUGGGACUACAGGUACCCACCACCACGCCCAGCUAAUUUUUGUAUUUCUAGUAGAGACGGGGUUCCAACAUGUUGGCCAGGCUGCUCUUGAACUCCUGACCUCAGGUGAUCCACCCGCCUCGGCCUCCCAAAGUGCUGGGAUUACAGGCGUGAGCCACCAAGCCCGGCCUGAGAAUUCUCUUCUGUCAAUGGUGUGGGCCUCUCGACCUCACUAACCUAUAUUGGCCCAGAGGUGAUGGUGACAAUUUGAGAUAACACAAAGUCUC